CCAGCUCUCCCCCCUGCCCACCGCAGGCGGCGUUCCGCUGUUAGCCUCUCGCACCGUGUGGGUCCGCCGCACAGUGCCACCUCUCGACGCGUCCGGAGUCGUCGGCUCGCCGACGCAGCCCUGCCGGUUGCGACGGUUGGCGGUUGCCUAGCAAGCAGCGGUGCUGGCGCCAUUCGCGGGGCGUGGCGCCGCAGGCAGGAAGCUCCCGCCUGCUCCCGCUUCGUCUUCUCGCUCCAACCGAAUCCCCAGGUUCGCCUCCCUCCACCUGUCCCAUCCUCCCAAUGUUUCCAGUUUUGCGCUUCCAUUCGCCGACCCAUCGUGUCCUCCCAGCAGUGCCUGUCCCGCGUUCGUUUGCGCGUGUGCGGUCCAAUUAGAACUGCGGAAUUUGAGCCCCAGAUUUCACCACCGUGGUUGCUAGUUGCUUAUUGCUACGGAAAGUUAGUUGCUAAAUUUUAGUGUUGUACAUUGCAAUUUGCAAAUGUCGGCUGGAGUGGGCACACUGAAUCUCCUGACAAUUGGCGCAAAAUAUGAGGGCAAAUUAGUUCUCAUCAUCGCCCUGCCAUACAAACUAGGAUGAGGCUAUUCUGCAGAAUUGCCAACUUUGUACAUGAAGCAAUUGAACACACCUUAAGAGCUGCGUUAGUUUUACACGGGCCGGAUGUGCCUCCUUUUUCAUUUUUAUUGAGUUUACUUAAGGGACUAUACCUCCUGCCCAUAUGCAUUGCAACAAGACAAACGUUCAGUGUUAUUACAGCUUCAGAAAUGCAAGGUGCGGCAAUACUUGCCUGAAUGUUCCCCAAAAAACAAAAGCCUGAGCCCCACGGUUGAUAGGUAACCCCAAUUCAGUUCCAGAAACUGAAGCAUUCAGACAACAGUGAUCAUGUUACUUGUGCAGUGUUAUCGUGUUAAUUGUCUCUGAUGAAAUAGUGAAGUCUGAGCUACAGCCUUAAAGUGAUCUGACUGCUUCUAGGAAUAUAGUCACUGCUUUAAUAAGGUAAAAUUAUAAAUUCAAAUAACAGGAAUAUAUUGUUGAUUACAUAGCAGUACAUGAGCAUACUGAUUGGUGAGUACUGCUCUAUACAUUCACCCAGCUUGAGUUUUAGAAAUUUACAGUGCCGUCCUGUUAUGAGUGCCGUAAUAAUUAAAUUAUUUGCAGGAUUAGGUAUUACUGUAUUUUUCCUCCACUAGUUGUUGUAGAAGUACGGGUACUGGGGCCACACUGACAUCUCGCCCUGCAAGAUUUGAACUAUUUGUUGGAUCGUUGGCCUGUGAGCCUCAUUGGUCUGAAUGCACCGGCACGCAACCUUGCAUGAUCUCUCUAGCUCUCGAAUAUCCGCAUCAUUUAGUCUGUGAUCCAAGAUUUCAGAAAUGUCACCUUCACUUAUCCUAAUUGUGGCCACACUGGAAAGUACCUUACGGUUCAAUUCUCCAUCAACUUUGAAUUCCUUCUGCCUGAAAUUAUCUCGAAUAGCAUCAUUCAUAGCUGUACACAUCUGCUUUUGGUGUUAUGGGAAGACCUCCAAUCCAUUCUAGUGCAGAUACUCUAUUGCUCCUCUCAUAGUUGUCGAUGCCCUGCUAAAAUGUCGAUCCAUAACUACAUAAGCUUCGCCACACCAAAAUCAGACACUUUUGGACUGAAUUCUGCACAAGAAGUACAUUUUCAGGCUUUAUAUCACAACGUAUGAUGCGAUCAUGGCAUUCAUCGUGGAGAUAAUGUAAUCCCUUUGCAACACCUAGAAUGACUAGGAAUCUUGUGUUCUAUCCAAUAUCUUCUCAUUCUUGAAGAGAUGAAGAUGAUAUUGAGAGAUCCAUUCACCAUAAAGUCAUACACCAGCAGCCUUUCGACUCUGCUCAAGCAGAACCCACUUAGGUGAACCAGAUUAUUAUGGUCAAUUUUCCCUAAAGCCCUCACCUCAGUGUGAAAUUUCUUCUCUCCUUGUUUCAUGCCUUGAAGCUUCUUGACAGCUAUUGGUUUGGAGUCUGGGAGCAACCCUUUGAGCACUGAACCAAAGCUACCUUGCCCCAGUUUAUCUGAGAAAUUCUUUGUGCAAUGCUGUAAAAAGGAAUAGUCGUAGACAAUGAGAGUGUCAUUAUCUGAUAAAGUCUUUUGAGAUGAAGUCCUCCUUUGGAAUGUCUUAACAGUUAUGCCAAAAGCAAAUAGUGCCAUAAAAAUACUACCCUGGUGCAAUUAACACAGUAAGCCUCUCAGGAGGAUCGUGGAAGCAGUGGUAUUGUUGUGUCCAGUCCUUUAUUGUAUUCAGAAAAUAGGUUGGGUGCGUCUCUCUCAUUGUUCCAUGCCUACCAUCUACUAGCUCUUCUUAAUCUGGAGUCUAUAAUAACUUGACCAAAUCUUCAUCUCUCUCUAAAUGAUCCCAUGGUUCCGCAUACAUCUUGAAACAACUCGAGUUAUGAACAAUACUUUGAAACAUUAGCGUAAUAACACUGAAAUCAUCAUGCGUACUGCAAGAGUGAUGUUGUAAUUUACAGCUACCAUCCUUAUAAUGAUGCCAGGCUAUGGCUAUUCAGCCUGGGAAAUAGAAAUUCAUCAGCAAAAGAAUACAUGCCCGACUCAGAUGUUACAAAACAUAGCCCCUGUUUUUUCCCCUCACUUAGCUGGCUAUCUCAUCGAAGUUGAUUGAUUGGGAUGCUUAAGUUUUCAUAUAAACAAGGAAACAGUAACACGGAAUUUGUUUGCACAGAAAUUUGGGGUCCGCUUGCUUAUUUUGUUAUUUUAUUUUCAUUUUUGAAAAAUCAAUCUGUACCUCCUUUUUUAGAAAAAAAUAAUUUCAGCCUCAUUCACCAAAGAGUAUGCGCACGCCUGAGCUGAUGUUAGGAGCAAUUAGUCAAAAACAUAACUGUAACAAAAAAGCGUCUAUAUUCAGAUUCCAAUAUAUGGUUCAAAGGUGAACUCAUCAACUCAAUUUUACAUUUAGUAGGACAAAUGGGGAAGAUUGCAUGUGUACAUGCAACAGUGGUCCCUUUGUUAUAUUGGUUACUACACUCUGCACUAGAUCUACAGUAUUAAAGCAUAGCACAGUACAAAAGCGGAGCAUAUUAGGUUCUAAUUUAUGUACAUCUUCGCUCACUCAUAACACUCUCCAAGUAUUUGCCCUAACCAAUUGCAGCUUAUCUGAUUUAUAUACUUUGGAAGUGUGAACCGCCUGAAGUAGCACUGUAUGUCUGGGAAGUUGUCGUGCUGUCCUGUGUCUGAGAAGCCUGACUUGAAGAUAUAUCUGAAAAGAAGUUUAUAACAUCAGGGCUUUCACCAAGAACUCUCAAUGACCUUGGAACAGGAGGCAUGUUAACGUCAAGGAAUCCCUCGAGGAUUUGAACAAUCUGGCCAGUUGUGGGUCUAGC
This 3357-nucleotide long non-coding RNA is filed under the name Setaria viridis. RNAcentral's name for it is "long non-coding RNA (SVIR_LNC002420)". Lineage: Eukaryota; Viridiplantae; Streptophyta; Magnoliopsida; Poales; Poaceae. The record is from RNAcentral.